UACGUAGGGUGCAAGCGUUGUCCGGAAUUAUUGGGCGUAAAGAGCUUGUAGGCGGUUUGUCGCGUCUGCCGUGAAAUUUCGAGGCUCAACCUCGAACUUGCGGUGGGUACGGGCAGACUAGAGUGUGGUAGGGGAGACUGGAAUUCCUGGUGUAGCGGUGAAAUGCGCAGAUAUCAGGAGGAACACCGAUGCGAAGGCAGGUCUCUGGGCCACUACUGACGCUGAGAAGCGAAAAGCAUGGGGGAGCGAACAGGAUUAGAAACCCCCU
This 268-nucleotide ribosomal RNA is filed under the name uncultured bacterium. Its description in RNAcentral is "partial 16S ribosomal RNA". It matches the Rfam family "Bacterial small subunit ribosomal RNA", at positions 524 to 788 of the family's 1533-position model. The record is from RNAcentral.